UACGAAGGGGGCUAGCGUUGUUCGGAAUCACUGGGCGUAAAGCGCAUGCAGGCGGAUCGUUAAGUCGGGGGUGAAAGCCCGAGGCUCAACCUCGGAACUGCCUUCGAUACUGGCGAUCUUGAGUCCGGGAGAGGUGAGUGGAACUCCGAGUGUAGAGGUGAAAUUCGUAGAUAUUCGGAAGAACACCAGUGGCGAAGGCGGCUACCUGGCCCAAUACUGACACUCAGGUGCGAAAGCGUGGGGAGCAAACAGG
This 253-nucleotide ribosomal RNA is filed under the name uncultured bacterium. RNAcentral describes it as "partial 16S ribosomal RNA". It matches the Rfam family "Bacterial small subunit ribosomal RNA", at positions 524 to 776 of the family's 1533-position model. The record is from RNAcentral.